RNAcentral lists this ribosomal RNA (453 nucleotides) under uncultured bacterium. Its description in RNAcentral is "bacterial SSU rRNA". It matches the Rfam family "Bacterial small subunit ribosomal RNA", at positions 340 to 786 of the family's 1533-position model. The record is from RNAcentral.
UACGGAAGGCAGCAGUGGGGAAUAUUGCACAAUGGGCGCAAGCCUGAUGCAGCCGUGCCGCGUGUAUGAAGAAGGCCUUCGGGUUGUAAAGUACUUUCAGUCGUGAGGAAGGUGUUAAGGUUAAUAACCUUAGCAAUUGACGUUAGCGACAGAAGAAGCACCGGCUAACUCCGUGCCAGCAGCCGCGGUAAUACGGAGGGUGCGAGCGUUAAUCGGAAUUACUGGGCGUAAAGGGCACGCAGGCGGUUAAUUAAGUUGGAUGUGAAAUCCCCGGGCUUAACCUGGGAAUGGCAUUCAAGACUGGUUAGCUAGAGUCUUGUAGAGGGGGUAGAAUUCCAUGUGUAGCGGUGAAAUGCGUAGAGAUGUGGAGGAAUACCGGUGGCGAAGGCGGCCCCUGGACAAAGGCUGACGCUCAUGUGCGAAAGCGUGGGGAGCAAACAGGGAUUAGAUACC